UGGAAAGGAAUGGAGUGGAAUAGAUUAGAGUGGAAUGGAAUGGAUUGGAAAGUAAUGGAUUGGAAUGGAAUUUUUUUGAAUGGAUUGGAAUUAAAUGGAAUGGAAUGUAAUGUAAUUAAAUGGUAUGGAAUAAAAUAGAAUGAAAGAGAAUUAAAUGGAAUUGAAUUGAAUGGAAUUGAAUGGAUUGGAAAGGAAUAGAAUGGAAUGGA
RNAcentral lists this unclassified non-coding RNA (209 nucleotides) under Hevea brasiliensis (rubber tree). Lineage: Eukaryota; Viridiplantae; Streptophyta; Magnoliopsida; Malpighiales; Euphorbiaceae. The record is from RNAcentral.